RNAcentral lists this ribosomal RNA (253 nucleotides) under uncultured bacterium. RNAcentral's name for it is "partial 16S ribosomal RNA". It matches the Rfam family "Bacterial small subunit ribosomal RNA", at positions 524 to 776 of the family's 1533-position model. The record is from RNAcentral.
GACGAAGGUGGCAAGCGUUGCUCGGAUUUACUGGGCAUAAAGCGCGCGUAGGUGGUCCUGUAAGCGAGAGAUGAAAUCCCAUGGCUCACCCAUGGAACUGUCCCUCGGACUGCAGGGCUUGAGGACGGGAGGGGAGAAUGGAAUUCCCGGUGUAGCGGUGAAAUGCGUAGAUAUCGGGAGGAACGCCGGUGGCGAAAGCGAUUCUCUGGUCCGUUCCUGACACUGAGGCGCGAAAGCUAGGGGAGCAAACAGG